AAAGGCGACUAUAUCCUAACUGAAGAUCAGGUUGAAGCUGCUCUCUUGUACCCAGGCUUUUGUCGGACACUCCUAAGAAUGCGUCUGAGGCUUAGAGGAACAACAUUGGGGGCAAACAAUCGAAUGGACCUCUUGAAGCUUGUUACAACAGGAGUAAAUGAAAGUGAAAUAAGGGAUGAUGAUGUUGACAUGCUUGGAGUUGUACAGGGGUGGCAGGAGGAUGAGACUCAUGACCCAGAUGUGCCCGCUGUGACACAUAAGAGGGGCAUGACACCAUUUGUAUUUGUUCCAUUUGAAGAGGCGGAAACAUCGGAGUUAAAUCUUCCUGUGGAAAAGAUGGACUACUAUGUUCCAGGCUGAUGGAAGUGGUACCAUGGCGUGCUGUGUAUUAUAUUCCUCCAUGCUUGCUUUUGAUUUGUGUGAUAUAUAUAUACCUAAGAGUAUACAUCUAUAUUAAUAUUUAUACUGAACUCCCUGU
RNAcentral lists this unclassified non-coding RNA (478 nucleotides) under Hevea brasiliensis (rubber tree). Lineage: Eukaryota; Viridiplantae; Streptophyta; Magnoliopsida; Malpighiales; Euphorbiaceae. The record is from RNAcentral.